RNAcentral lists this ribosomal RNA (482 nucleotides) under uncultured bacterium. RNAcentral's name for it is "partial 16S ribosomal RNA". It matches the Rfam family "Bacterial small subunit ribosomal RNA", at positions 28 to 507 of the family's 1533-position model. The record is from RNAcentral.
GACGAACGCUGGCGGCGUGCUUAACACAUGCAAGUCGAACGCUGAAGCUCAGCUUUUGUUGGGUGGAUGAGUGGCGAACGGGUGAGUAACACGUGAGUAACCUGCCCCCUUCUUUGGGAUAACGCCCGGAAACGGGUGCUAUACUGGGUAUUUACUUGUCUUUGCAUGGGGGUUGGUGGAAAGGGUUUUUCUGGUGGGGGGUGGGCUCGCGGCCUAUCAGCUUGUUGGUGGGGUGAUGGCCUACCAAGGCUUUGACGGGUAGCCGGCCUGAGAGGGUGACCGGUCACAUUGGGACUGAGAUACGGCCCAGACUCCUACGGGAGGCAGCAGUGGGGAAUAUUGCACAAUGGGCGCAAGCCUGAUGCAGCGACGCCGCGUGAGGGAUGGAGGCCUUCGGGUUGUGAACCUCUUUCGCUCAUGGUCAAGCCGCAACAAUGGUUGUGGUGAGGGUAGUGGGUAAAGAAGCGCCGGCUAACUACGUG